GGGCCGUUAGCUCAAUCGGCAGAGCGCCUCAUUUGCAAUGAGGAGGUAGCGAGUUCGAAUCUCGCACGGUCCA
Molecule: transfer RNA, 73 nt
Filed under: bacterium
Lineage: Bacteria
Description: tRNA-Ala
Rfam family: tRNA
About the family: Transfer RNA (tRNA) molecules are approximately 80 nucleotides in length. Their secondary structure includes four short double-helical elements and three loops (D, anti-codon, and T loops).
Source: RNAcentral